Molecule: long non-coding RNA, 525 nt
Filed under: Gossypium barbadense (sea-island cotton)
Lineage: Eukaryota; Viridiplantae; Streptophyta; Magnoliopsida; Malvales; Malvaceae
Description: long non-coding RNA (GBAR_LNC022577)
Source: RNAcentral
UGUAAGCUUCCCCUGCCUAGUGGCCAGCUCACAUCAGCAUACGACCCACAAACAUAACAAACUUAACACAUCAACAAUAACUGGACAGGUGUUCGGCACAACACUUAAAAGCCACCGCGGAGGCGAAGGACCAGGUGCAAAGUGGAUUCCUUCUGGAUGUUGUAAUCUGCAAGGGUCCUCCCAUCUUCAAGUUGCUUCCCAGCAAAAAUCAGCCUCUGCUGGUCUGGUGGGAUUCCUUCCUUAUCCUGGAUCUUGGCCUUAACAUUAUCAAUCGUGUCUGAGCUCUCAACUUCCAGGGUGAUGGUCUUUCCAGUCAGGGUCUUCACGAAAAUUUGCAUCCCACCACGGAGACGGAGAACCAAGUGGAGGGUGGACUCCUUCUGGAUGUUGUAAUCUGCAAGGGUCCUCCCAUCCUCUAGCUGCUUUCCAGCAAAUAUCAGCCUCUGCUGGUCUGGAGGGAUACCUUCCUUAUCUUGAAUUUUGGCCUUAACAUUAUCGAUUGUGUCAGAGCUCUCAACUUCCAGG